Molecule: ribosomal RNA, 489 nt
Filed under: uncultured bacterium
Lineage: Bacteria
Description: partial 16S ribosomal RNA
Rfam family: Bacterial small subunit ribosomal RNA
Source: RNAcentral
AUGAACGCUAGCUCCAGGCUUAACACAUGCAAGUCGCGGGGCAGCAUGGGGGUUGCUUGCAAUCCCCGAUGGCGACCGGCGCACGGGUGAGUAACGCGUAUCCAACCUGCCCUUCACCACGGGAUAACCCGGCGAAAGUCGGACUAAUACCGUAUGUUGUCCAUUGACGGCAUCCGAUUUGGACGAAAGGCUUGGCGGUGAGGGAUGGGGAUGCGUCCGAUUAGCCAGACGGCGGGGUAACGGCCCACCGUGGCUACGAUCGGUAGGGGUUCUGAGAGGAAGGUCCCCCACACUGGAACUGAGACACGGUCCAGACUCCUACGGGAGGCAGCAGUGAGGAAUAUUGGUCAAUGGGCGUAAGCCUGAACCAGCCAAGUAGCGUGCAGGAUGACGGCCCUAUGGGUUGUAAACUGCUUUUAUGCGGGGAUAAAGUGGCCCACGUGUGGGCUUUUGCAGGUACCGCAUGAAUAAGGACCGGCUAAUUCCGUG